Molecule: ribosomal RNA, 441 nt
Filed under: uncultured bacterium
Lineage: Bacteria
Description: partial 16S ribosomal RNA
Rfam family: Bacterial small subunit ribosomal RNA
Source: RNAcentral
CCUACGGGAGGCAGCAGUGGGGAAUAUUGCACAAUGGGGGAAACCCUGAUGCAGCGACGCCGCGUGAGUGAAGAAGUAUUUCGGUAUGUAAAGCUCUAUCAGCAGGAACGAGACAAGACGGUACCUGACUACGAAGCCCCGGCUAACUACGUGCCAGCAGCCGCGGUAAUACGUAGGGGGCAAGCGUUAUCCGGAAUCACUGGGUGUAAAGGGAGCGUAGACGGCUGUGCAAGCCUGAAGUGAAAGGCGGGGGCCCAACCCCUGGACUGCUUUGGGAACUGUACGGCUGGAGUGCAGGAGAGGUAAGUGGAAUUCCUAGUGUAGCGGUGAAAUGCGUAGAUAUUAGGAGGAACACCAGUGGCGAAAGCGGCUCUCUGGUCUGUAACUGACGCUGAGGUUCGAAAGCGUGGGUAGCAAACAGGAUUAGAUACCCUAGUAGUC